This 725-nucleotide long non-coding RNA is filed under the name Chrysolophus pictus (golden pheasant). Its description in RNAcentral is "lncRNA (ENSCPIG00010002911.1)". The record is from RNAcentral. Lineage: Eukaryota; Metazoa; Chordata; Aves; Galliformes; Phasianidae.
AUUACAACAGGCUAAAGAUAAUCUGGAGGCUUGUCAACUGCUUCCUGAGGAUCAGUCUAAUUUUGGUUUCUGCACAGCAACAAUGGUAACAGAACCCUCACAGGACCUAAGAGCACAAUGCCAGCUGUACGGACAUCAGCCUGGAGUUACCUACCCUCACUCAGGUCAAGAUACAUCAGCAGGACUGGUACCCAGUGCUGGACAAGGCUUCAUUAACCAUAACCUCAAAAUUUCCCACAAUAACCCUGUUGCAUCCGAAUCUAGCUCUUCAGAAUUUCCUUCCCUACUACCAGCAAAAUCUGUGGCAAAGAGAGCAGCUGCAAAGGUUGCUCAGCAUGAUAAAGUACCUCAUCCAGUUGGCUUUGUGACUCCUCCACCAUGCCCUGGUAAGAUUCGCUAUUUCAAGAUCUAGGCUGUGUCACAGACAUGCAAGACAGCUAACUGAAGAUCAGCAUGCAGCAGCAGCAUUCAACACACACAGUACAGCACCAAGUGCAAAUAGCUGAGAACACCUGACUCUUAGUCCAACUGACUUUCACCCUCCAGAGAACACAGCUGAGCCCAGGAUCUUGCAAAGGGCUGCUUCAAGAUAUAAGAGAUUGCAACGUACAGCAGUUGUUUUCUCUAAGUACAGGGAUGCUCUAGUUAAAACGCAGCAAAAAUUGUUUCAAUGAAGCUGUUGUAAAAGGUAUACAACAGUUGUAGCUUUGUGAUAGAAACACCAC